AAAUUGAAGAGUUUGAUCAUGGCUCAGAUUGAACGCUGGCGGCAGGCCUAACACAUGCAAGUCGAACGGUAACAGGAAACAGCUUGCUGUUUCGCUGACGAGUGGCGGACGGGUGAGUAAUGUCUGGGAAACUGCCCGAUGGAGGGGGAUAACUACUGGAAACGGUAGCUAAUACCGCAUAACGUCGCAAGACCAAAGAGGGGGACCUUCGGGCCUCUUGCUAUCGGAUGUGCCCAGAUGGGAUUAGCUAGUAGGUGGGGUAACGGCUCACCUAGGCGACGAUCCCUAGCUGGUCUGAGAGGAUGACCAGCCACACUGGAACUGAGACACGGUCCAGACUCCUACGGGAGGCAGCAGUGGGGAAUAUUGCACAAUGGGCGCAAGCCUGAUGCAGCCAUGCCGCGUGUAUGAAGAAGGCCUUCGGGUUGUAAAGUACUUUCAGCGGGGAGGAAGGGAGUAAAGUUAAUACCUUUACUCAUUGACGUUACCCGCAGAAGAAGCACCGGCUAACUCCGUGCCAGCAGCCGCGGUAAUACGG
Molecule: ribosomal RNA, 538 nt
Filed under: Shigella flexneri
Lineage: Bacteria; Pseudomonadati; Pseudomonadota; Gammaproteobacteria; Enterobacterales; Enterobacteriaceae
Description: bacterial SSU rRNA
Rfam family: Bacterial small subunit ribosomal RNA
Source: RNAcentral